ACAAUCACAUUGGGGGGCUCUGGAACCAAGUGUGGGGAGUUCGAUUCCUGGUUGGAGCAGCCAAGUGAUGUAAUAACCAGAGGAAGGGUUGGAGCAGUUUGGUGAUGUAAUAACCAUGGAGGAGGGUCCCUUUGGGGAAAGAGUAAAAGCCAUGUGGGAAUUUGGGAACAACAAGGCACAACCUGCGAUUUACCUCCACUAGUCACUGAGGGGCCGGGGGCUAGAGGUCCAGGAUUUAG
This 239-nucleotide long non-coding RNA is filed under the name Olea europaea (common olive). RNAcentral describes it as "long non-coding RNA (OEUR_LNC010344)". Lineage: Eukaryota; Viridiplantae; Streptophyta; Magnoliopsida; Lamiales; Oleaceae. The record is from RNAcentral.